AGGAGAUGAGAAGUGCGAGAACCUGUGUUCAGUUCCCAGCACUCAUAUGGUUAUUUUUUUUUUUUUUUGGUUCUUUUUUUCGGAGCUGGGGACCGAACCCAGGGCCUUGCGCUUCCUAGGUAAGCGCUCUACCACUGAGCUAAAUCCCCAGCCCCACUCAUAUGGUUAUUUAAGGGAUCAGAUGCUCUCCUCUAGCCUCCACAGCCACUAGACAUACAUGUGGUACACAUAUAUACAUGUAGGCAAAACACUUAUACACAUAAAAAAUCUUAAAA
This 275-nucleotide long non-coding RNA is filed under the name Rattus norvegicus (Norway rat). RNAcentral describes it as "long non-coding RNA NONRATT020428". Lineage: Eukaryota; Metazoa; Chordata; Mammalia; Rodentia; Muridae. The record is from RNAcentral.